Molecule: ribosomal RNA, 309 nt
Filed under: uncultured bacterium
Lineage: Bacteria
Description: bacterial SSU rRNA
Rfam family: Bacterial small subunit ribosomal RNA
Source: RNAcentral
AACGAACGCUGGCGGCAUGCCUAACACAUGCAAGUCGAACGGGAUCCUGGCUUCGGUCAGGUGAGAGUGGCGGACGGGUGAGUAACGCGUGGGAACCUGCCCAGUGGUGGGGGAUAACUGCGGGAAACUGCAGCUAAUACCGCAUGAGCCCCGAGAGGGGAAAGAUUUAUCGCCAUUGAGGGGCCCGCGUUCGAUUAGGUAGUUGGUGAGGUAACGGCUCACCAAGCCGACGAUCGAUAGCUGGUCUGAGAGGAUGAUCAGCCACACUGGGACUGAGAUACGGCCCAGACUCCUACGGGAGGCAGCAGU